RNAcentral lists this transfer RNA (83 nucleotides) under Porphyrobacter sp. LM 6. RNAcentral describes it as "tRNA-Leu". It matches the Rfam family "tRNA". Rfam says of the family: Transfer RNA (tRNA) molecules are approximately 80 nucleotides in length. Their secondary structure includes four short double-helical elements and three loops (D, anti-codon, and T loops). Lineage: Bacteria; Pseudomonadati; Pseudomonadota; Alphaproteobacteria; Sphingomonadales; Erythrobacteraceae. The record is from RNAcentral.
GCGGAUGUGGCGGAAUGGUAGACGCCCGAGACUUAAAAUCUUGUGAGGGUAUCCUCGUGCGGGUUCGAGUCCCGCCAUCCGCA